Molecule: long non-coding RNA, 302 nt
Organism: Cydia splendana
Lineage: Eukaryota; Metazoa; Arthropoda; Insecta; Lepidoptera; Tortricidae
Exons: 2
Source: RefSeq, a predicted model, not a curated record
GACACGCGGUAGCGUGUCAGGCCAAGUUCAAGCAAAGGAACUGGCUAGCCAGCGCAGAGUGUAAUAUUACACGAACCACUUGGUGCCACUUUUGACCCUUCUAUAACUCAAAACAUCUUUAACGUAAACACAUAAAACUACGUGUGUUUAAUUAUAUCCAUAAGGACAUCUAGAAACCCAAAUUUCAUGAAGCUAGCUCAAACGGUUAUGAAGAUAUGAAGGUCAAAAAGUCGUAAAUUUUAAGACUGACUGACUGACUAGGGGGGUCCCCAUACAAAAAAACCAUUUUUUAUUGGGACUGA